CAAUGGAAAUUAUACAAAUGGACCAAUUACAUUUAAGUAUGACUUGGCUUGUAUGACUUAUAUUUCUGAAAUGAAACAUUUCUCACUACGUUAUCGUGCAGAAAGCAUAUUACAAAAGAGAAGCAGUUCAGAGACAAGCAAAUUCCACGUUAACAAGGAGACACGAGCUGAAGCCCAAACUCGCAAUGGAUAUUUUGAUGCCAAUAAUAUAUAUUAUCAUCUUCAUGAAUUUAAUUGUGCAAGAUGUUUCAAUGAGUGAUGUACCGAGCACAACAACUGCAACAAGUAAAAAUUACAUUCAGAAUGAUAAAUCAACAAAGACAAACGAAAAAAAUCAAGAUGUAAAACUUCUAGCAGUUAUCACAAUUACAGUUUUGUGUACAUUAGCCUCGGCAAUACUCUUAUAUUGUGUGCAUUGUCUGCAUUGUUGGGCAAGUUAUAAACUGAGUUUUAGCAAAGGCGCUAAAACUAUUCAACCAAACAUUACAAUACAAGACAACAGUGACCGUAUAAGCGCGGAUCUGUAUGAAAUGAUGGAUAUGUCACAUAGAUGGAAGUUAUUCUGAUACGUAAGCAUAAAUACCUUCUAUACUGAGUUCGAUUGUUCGAUAAAUUCUGAUAAAUGCUUUAUUCAGCUCGAUUCUCGACUUGAAGUUUCCCGGACAAUGCAUUUCAUGCAAUACAAAAUAUGUAUAUAAGAUAGGAUAUCUUUGGUAAAUUUAUCGCGUAGAAAAUGAUAGAGAAAUCCCUUAUUGAUUAUAAGAAGACUCAACACCGCAGAAGCAAUAUCGUGAUGAUAUGUUUACUGUGAUUGUUAACAUUAAUUAUUACAUUACUAGAUAUGUGACCAUUUUAAUUGUUCACCAGAAAUGUUCAUAAAAAAUGCUAAAUUUAAUAUUUUUCUUUUAAAUUAUUCGUGUUUUGUUUUAGUUUUAAUCGUAAUAUUUUAACUUUUCUUUAUCUAAUAACGAUGCUAGUAAUUAAAUAUUUAAAAAAUAGUAGAAAACAGACAGUUUCGAUUAAUGACUAAUGAUCGAUAAAUUAAAAUAAAAAUAUAAAGCACUUUAGCACUUUUCUGAUAAAUCUGUUGAGUAACUUCUUAUCGAAUAAUUAUUUUCACUACAUAUUAAAUUUAAUUAAUUGUUAGAAAAUGUAAAUCUUAAUUUUCAUUAGAGGCCACGUCUUUAUUAUAUAAAAUUCUUGUAAAUGCAUAACUUAACGUACUUUUCAGCUUUUAUACUUUUAUACUUUUAACUUGUUUUCAACAAAGUUUGAAUAUAAAUUUGAAAAAAAAAUUAUUAAA
Non-coding RNA from Linepithema humile (Argentine ant), 1303 nucleotides. NCBI's taxonomy places the organism in Eukaryota, Metazoa, Arthropoda, Insecta, Hymenoptera, Formicidae. The record is from RefSeq and is a predicted model, not a curated record.